Molecule: ribosomal RNA, 469 nt
Filed under: uncultured bacterium
Lineage: Bacteria
Description: bacterial SSU rRNA
Rfam family: Bacterial small subunit ribosomal RNA
Source: RNAcentral
ACUCCUACGGGAGGCAGCAGUGGGGAAUAUUGGACAAUGGGGGCAACCCUGAUCCAGCCAUGCCGCGUGUGUGAAGAAGGCUUUCGGGUUGUAAAGCACUUUCAGUGGUGAGGAAGGGGUCAGUGUUAAUAGCACUGAUCAUUGACGUUAGCCACAGAAGAAGCACCGGCUAACUCCGUGCCAGCAGCCGCGGUAAUACGGAGGGUGCAAGCGUUAAUCGGAAUUACUGGGCGUAAAGGGCGCGUAGGCGGUUUGAUAAGCGAGAUGUGAAAGCCCCGGGCUUAACCUGGGAACGGCAUUUCGAACUGUCAGGCUAGAGUGCAGUAGAGGGUAGUGGAAUUUCCGGUGUAGCGGUGAAAUGCGUAGAUAUCGGAAGGAACACCAGUGGCGAAGGCGACUACCUGGACUGACACUGACGCUGAGGUGCGAAAGCGUGGGUAGCAAACAGGAUUAGAAACCCCAGUAGUCC